GGGGGGGCAAGCGUUGUUCGGAAUUACUGGGCGUAAAGGGCGCGCAGGCGGCCUGGCAAGUCCUACGUGAAAUCCCACAGCUCAACUGUGGAACUGCGUGGGAUACUGCUAGGCUUGAGUCCGGGAGAGGAGAGUGGAAUUCCCAGUGUAGCGGUGAAAUGCGUAGAUAUUGGGAGGAACACCGGUGGCGAAGGCGGCUCUCUGGACCGGUACUGACGCUGAGGCGCGAAAGCUAGGGGAGCAAACGGGGGAUUAGAUACCCCGGUAGUCCUAGCCGUAAACUUUGAGCACUUGGUGUGGCGGGUAUCGACCCCUGCCGUGCCCGAAGCUAACGCAUUAAGUGCUCCGCCUGGGGAGUACGGUCGCAAGGCUG
RNAcentral lists this ribosomal RNA (373 nucleotides) under uncultured organism. Its description in RNAcentral is "partial 16S ribosomal RNA". It matches the Rfam family "Bacterial small subunit ribosomal RNA", at positions 528 to 896 of the family's 1533-position model. The record is from RNAcentral.